Molecule: long non-coding RNA, 867 nt
Organism: Drosophila virilis
Lineage: Eukaryota; Metazoa; Arthropoda; Insecta; Diptera; Drosophilidae
Source: RefSeq, a predicted model, not a curated record
CUACGGAUAUGUCGCCUACUCGAUUAGUUUGACAAGCGAAUUUGCGCUGGCUAUUAGCUGUUUUUUUUUUUCACAUGCAUAUGUGUAUGUCGGCGCGUACUGACUGUGCUUCUCAUCUACCAACCGCAGAAGUUUCCGCGCACUCUGAAAAAAUCGUCCCUGAAGCUAUGAUCGCACAGUCUAUAGUAUUUAUCCCGGAUUGCGAUAUGUCUCUUACAAAGGCCCCUUUUCUACUCUCGCAGAGGAUCUUCUGUGAGAAUAUUUAGCUUCAGUUCCGACUUGACUUUUAUGCAUACCCAAUCCACUCCUCCGCAGCAUUCCUUUCCCUUCAUCCAACCCAUAUUUUACCACACUUUCCUUUAAACUUUGCUCUCUAUCUUUCUCUCUCUCUCUCUCUCUUUGUCUCUCUCUUUGUCUCUCUAGUCAUCCAGUCCUUUGGCGGAUUGUUUUCCUCCGUUGCAGCAAUUCCUGCAUGAUGUCGUGCUCCGUCCCAGAAUUUCUUUCGGCACAAUCGGCUAUGCAGGCAUCGGCUCUGCGUUUCAAUCUUGUGAGCCACUUUUAGCUACAUGGAGCUGCGCUUGGACUCACUGGAUUUGCUACGAGUUUAAUGGAGCGGAGUAAUCGCGGCGUUCCCUGCCAUUUGGUUAUUCUUGAGAACUGUAAAUGCUGCUGAGCCUUACCCUGCUGUAAUGAAUACUGCUUCAGUUCGAUCAGAUGUUCAACCAAUAGAAUCUUCCAAUCAGCAGAUUCGCUACCGAAACCCAAUCUGACAGUUGCUCCGCAGCAAUGAUUAGUAUCCAACAAACGUAUGCAACUAACUCUUACAAAUACCAACAAAUAAAUUCUUUUAGCAACGAGAAAAAACAA